UCUCCGUAGGUGAACCUGCGGAGGGAUCAUUACAGAGUUCAUGCCCUACCGGGUAGAUCUUCCCACCCUAUGUUAUUAUUACUUUGUUGCUUUGGCGGGCCGUUAGGCUCCGGCCCGACUACCGGCCCCGGCGGGUAAGCGCCCACCAGAGGACCCAAAACCCUGAAUAUUAGUGUCGUCUGAGUACUAUAUAAUAGUUAAAACUUUCAACAACGGAUCUCUUGGUUCUG
Molecule: unclassified non-coding RNA, 230 nt
Filed under: plant metagenome
Description: partial contains small subunit ribosomal RNA, internal transcribed spacer 1, and 5.8S ribosomal RNA
Source: RNAcentral